UCGUUUUGCCCUCUUAUCACCGGGGGGCGAAAAUUUGAAACAGGGAUCAUCAUCAUCAUCAUCAUCACCAUCUCGGCAUCUCCCAUCUCCGAGCUGUUAACACGAAAUCAAAAAUGGGCUCGAAGGAAAUGAGUUUGGUGCUCUUAAUGAUGGCCGUGGUCGUGGCAGCGGCAGCCACGCCGAGUGGCAUCAAGAGCAUUAAUGUUGUUGGCCGCAUUGAAGAUGAAAAUGAGAUGUCGAUGCCGACGGAGGAGAGCCGUCGCCACCUUAAUGCAGGCCAAGACUGUAUCAGCUAUGACGCAAUGUUAGCCAAUAAGGUUCCAUGCUCCCUAAAAGGUCAUUCUUAUUACGAUUGCCAUAACAGGACCGGCAGCGGCCCUGUUAACCCUUACCGUCGCGAGUGCUCCACCUCCACAAACUGCGAAAGGUCAACCAGCUGAGGCUAAUGAUGGCACUCAGGGGAGAUUCAAGAGUUUACAGAAACGAGAGAAAUAACAUUUUUCAAUAUUGAUUGUGCCUUAUACUAUAUGGGGGUUCAUUGGAUAUUUUGCUAUUGAAAAUUAAUUUCCUCCUUUAAGUUUUCCUCUUUUAUUAUUUUAUUUUGUAAUUUUUAUGGAAUACAAAUCAGGAGUAUGAAUAUUGAGAAAAAUAUUUAGUAAUUUAAAUACACAGUUUUCUUUGAAAAAUAUCAAUUGCUGAUGCGUUAUAGUCUUGAGUAUGGGAAUGAAGGCAUAAACAUGGAAAGCGAGCAUGGAAGUCUAAAUCAAACACCGAAUGCAAAAUUAAAUUAUUCUUCUUUCCAUCGAUCCUAGUAAUCUUGAGGUUUGAUUUUUAUUAUUAAAACAAAAUUUGUAGUUGUAACAUAAUAUAAGUGUGGGGAAACCGGAAAAAAUAAUUGUACAAAUGACUAUAUUUUUAAAAUUAAUUUUUCUAUUUAAAAAAUAGCAUUGUCGCUAACAUAAUUAAAUAGUUUACAAAAUAUAAGCACAUAUAUGUAUUACUUAAAAGGGCGUACGUAAAAAUGUUAGUUUUAAACAAACAACUUAACUUUCCAAUUGGGAAGGAAAAAAAAAUGUUUCAAUUUUGGCGACCAUGUAUUUGCUAGGUGUUAUGAACUAUAAAAUUUUGCUUGGUGUGAUUUUGACAUUAUAGAUUGGUGAGAAUGACACUUUGAACCUCUUAUAAAAUAUUUUUAUUACUUACAUUUUUUUAUAAAAGUUUAAUUCCUCAUUUCUUCCAUGGUAUGAAAAAUAUAUAGUAAUAGAACAAACACACCAUUGGAGAUGGUAUUUAAAUAUGAUAUUUUAGCAAAUAAAUUAACUCUAUUAUUUUUACAUUGUAGAGCUACAUCUCAAAACAAUCAAUUUGUUGCAAAGAAAUCAUAUUUAUCCAAGAAAGAUAUUAAUUGUGAAUGAGGAAUUUAGAAAAGAAGGCCUUUGAAAUUAGAGACCGAUCCAGAUAUUCGAUUUACUAAAAUUAAAUCCUUGGAUAAAUACAUUUACAUGUCAGAUUAUAAUUAAACCAUUAAUAUUAAUCAAACAAAUAUUCUUAAAAGUUAUAUACGCACGUGGGCGAGUUGACCCGAUCAAAAAGAACUAAAAAUAUCCAUAUAUAAAUAUGUCAUUUAAUUCAGGUUAGGGCCAAUUUUAGUAUCACCAAAUUGUGUAGAAUUCUCUAUAUAAAGUCCAAUUCUACAUGUUUGAUAGUCGUGCUUCCCUUGAGAGGGUUCACACAUCUCUCCAAGGUUACACAAACAUCUCUGAUCGGACUAAUCAACGUUCUUUGUAUUGUUUGUUUUUUUUUCAAUCUUUAUUAAUGGGUUCGAAGGUACUGAGUUUGAUGUUCCUAAUGUUGGCGGUGGUUAUGACAAUGGCAAGGCCCGUGGAAGAAGACGGUCGUCGUCAGCUUGGUGGCGGAGGCGGGUUCAUAAGCUACGAUGCCUUGAAAGCCGAUUCGGUUCCGUGCAACCAACGUGGUGCUUCCUACUACGGUUGCAGAUCAGCUAGCGGACCGGUUAACCCUUACCGUCGUGAGUGCAGUACCGCGACAAACUGCCAAAGGUCAACCGGCUAGGGCUCGUAAUAACACUCAAGGGGAUGCAAAGUUUACAGAAAUGAGAGAUACUUUUUUGCAUCUGCAGAUUCCGUGCAAAUAUCAUUACUCUUAUUUCCUCCAUUCCGAUAUUUUUUGUUUGUACAGAUUCUGUGCAAAUAUCAUUACUCUUAUUAUUCCAUUCCUUUCCAAAAGGCUAGGGUAAUUGACACUGUAAUUAAUUCCUUUUAUUUGGCGAAAACAUGAGAAAAAUAAGAAAGAAAAAGAAACAAUGUUUGUUGCCUUUUUUUAUUAGCCAAGCGAGUAAGUCCCACGUUUAAGUCAUCUUGACCUGUUAAGUGUUAAGUGAAUCGAAUCCAUGAAGCCUUUAGUGCAUCAUACAAAACAUUCAUUGAUAUGUAGAUAUGUACUGCUACCGGUGAAACACGGAUUUUUAUAAUUCAACCUCACAUCUCAUACGAUCAUUGAAACAUUAAUCGGAGUUGCUAUUGUCCUAAAUUUUUGAAAGAUUUUGUGUUGCCUAUUCUUUGGUGCUAACUACUUUAAUUUUUUAAUUUAUCAACCACUAAUUACUUGAGUAAAUUUUACUCAAGAGAAGAUCUUAAUCCACGAAUUCAUACAUCUACAGAUAAAAACUGGAAGAUAAUUUUAUUAACAAAUAGAAAUUUAAAAAAUUUGGGAACUACUCUCAAAAUCCAAUAUCUUAUACACCCAAAUGGAUCCCCUUAGCACCCAAAUAGAUCCCUUUAGUACCCAAGGAAAUGCUUUCUCUACACUCUUGAAGAGCUCACUUGCAAUGCUCUUAGAUCUCACAAUUUUUGGAUGAUCAAACAAAUAAAGAAUUGCCCUUCUAUUUGUAAGGAGCAUUGCUCACCGACCACAAGUUUCAAUUUGGCUUUAAUUUGCCAAAUUGGCAAACUGUGCUCAACUUUGGUUUGAUUUUUCAACAGUUUCAAAUAAAAAGCAUUGCCUCUACUUUUUUAAUUUUUCCUUUAUAAAUAACAUAAUUAUUUCAUUCAGUUUCCAAAGAAAAUAGUACAAAAAUAUGCCCAUAAUAUAUAUUUAAAAUACUUUAUAUGUGUUUUUCUUUUUUCUUUUUUUGUUGGACACCCGAUUUCAAGUUCUAGGUAAGAUCUAAAAAAUUAAUUUCAAUUUUACCCAUUCCUACAUCCUUUAUUUACAGACAGUUCCUUGCCGCAGACAGUUUGAUAGACUAAUAUGAAAUCUUACUUAAGUGUAGGGAAGAAAACUGAUCCAUUGGUUUAUUAUUAAAUGAUAUCUCCAUGAAAUAUACAUACAACACAUUCGAGCUCCAGCGGAAAUACUUCUUAGCUUUUUACAUUUUUUUUUCCUCUUCUUUCUUCAUCACAAACCUUAACAUAUAUAAUGAAUUAGAGCAAAGAAAAUUAUUGGUGUAUAACAGAUUUUUUUUUAUAAAAUUUUUAGAUUCUCUUGUGAAGUUAAUGAAAUUAAGUUGCUGCUUUUACCCCCAGCCGAAAGCCGAUCAUGGUAAUUCUAGUUUCUCAAUUAUAUACAAUGCUUCGUCUGUAAUUUAGCCCCAAAAAACAGAUAAAUAAAUAAAUAAAACCGGGCGAAUAAUCUGUACAAGCAUUUCUCUCAGUAAUUUUCUUCUAUUAAAGUCUUUUCCUGCCAAUAAUUUUCUAUGCUUAAGUUGAUUACCAAACUGAAGGUUUACGACAAAGAUUGUUACAGGAAAAAGAAAGAAGCAAGAAGCGCUGGGCAUAAAUUUUUUUUAUAAAAAAAAUAUGUUGACAAAGAUAAAAAAAUCUAUUAAUUUAGCGAAUAUUAAUAUAUCGGUAAAUUACUAAUUUAUCAAUUUAUGAAGAUAAUAUCACGUUCGUAAUAGAAAAUUUUAUGGAGUAUAGAGGUAGUAUAAUUAAAUAAUGUAGUGAUUCUGUCAAGCUGUAUAAUAUUAUUUUAAUUUGAUCUUAAUUAAAUGAAUCAAUCCCUUGAUAAUCCUUUGACUAGAUUACAAUUACACGCUAACUUGCCCAAGAAGACUUUAUGGAGAGAAUAUAUAAUCUCAAUCUCCCUUUUAUUUCUCUUAACAUAACACAUAGAUUAUAAUGUGGUUUUUCCUUUGAAAAGUGAAAAGAAUGUAACAAUGACAAAUGAAUGAAUAAAACAUUCUCCCAAUACAAUAAAGAAAAUCAUAGACAUAUCAUAUGUACUUAAUUUCAAAUUAGUUAAUUAUUUAUUCACGGAUUAAUUAGGUCUUAUAGAAACAUAAGAUCUUUUUGAAACUCUAUUAUCUAAUAUAUUUAUCAAAUUAUGAAUUUACUACAUUAGCUCCUUGAGAUUGAUAAAAAUAAUUAUUUAAUUGAGAUUAUCAAUUUUUUUAUCAUUAAUUUAAUAAAGUUCUACUCUAUUAGGAUGGGUCCAACGACAAUGUACAUACAGUAAAUUAUUAAAAAAAAAAUGGAUUGAGUAUAAAAGAAAGAUUGUUGAUGGGUAAGAUUUGAUUCUAAUCUAAUGAUAGAAAAAAAAAAAAUUCCCAGCCAUCAAUUAAUGGAGAGAAUAUAUAAUCUCAAUCUCCCUUUUAUUUCUCUUAACAUAACACAUAGAUUAUAAUGUGGUUUUUCCUUUGAAAAGUGAAAAGAAUGUAACAAUAACAAAUGAAUGAAUAAAACAUUCUGUCAGUACAAUAAAGAAAAUCAUAGACAUAUCAUAUGUACUUCAUUUCAAAUUAGUUAAUUAUUUAUUCAUGUAUUAAUUAGGUCUUAUAGGGUGCGUUUGGUACAUGGUUUAGAUAUGAGUUGCAGCUUUAAUUAGGGAGCUAAGACAAUAACCAAACCACUUCUGCAACUGUGCUAUAGUGCUCUAUGGGUGCAUUUAUUAUAUUGUAUUGCAUUAGCACUGUAUUAUAAUAAUACUGUAUAAUGUUUGGUACUACAUUGUACUGUAAUAAAUUUUUUGAUUAAUUUAAAUUAAAUAUUAUAUUAUAUUAAUAUACUUAAAUUAUACUUAUAUUUUAUAUUAUUAUUAAUUUUAAAUUAAUAUUAUUUAAAUUUAUUUAUAUUUAAUUAUUUAUUAUUAGUUAUAAUAAAUUAUAAUGUAAAAAAUAAUAUAAUAUAAUAAUAUUGAAUAAUAAAUUACAUGUUUAUUAAUCUAUAUUAAUAAUUAUAAUAUAAAAAUAAUAUUAAAUUAAAAGUUAUAUUUAAUAAUAAUUAUUAUUAUUAUUUUAAUAAAGCAAAAGACAAAAAGCAAAAGUCAAAAAGCAAAACUAAAAAAGGGGCUCCAGCGACAGUUACAAAAGCAAGGGAGAGAGAAAAAAAAAUACAAAACAAAACGGCAGCUGGUUUAACUUAAUGCGGCAACAGCCGCAUUAGUUGGGCUUUUAAUGUGGUGAUUCUGUAGUUUUUUAUUUGUCAAACAUGGGCUUGUGUUAAAUUAAUACAAUGAGGUGUUUUAAUACAACAUCCAAACAAGUCCAUAAAAACAUAAGAUCUUUUUAAAACUCUAUUAUCUAAUAAAUUUAUCAAAUUAUUAAUUUAUUACAUUAGCUCCAAGUCGAGAUUGAUAAAAGUAAUUAUUUAAUCGAGAUUACCAAUUUAAUAAAGUUCUACUCUAUUAGGAUGGGGUCCAACGACAAUGUACAUACAGUAAAUUAUUAAAAAAAAAUGGAUUGAGUAUAAAACAAAGAUUGUUGAUGGGUAAGAUUUGAUUGUAAUCUAAUGAUAGCAAAGAAAAAAAAUUCCCAGCCAUCAAUUAAUGGACCCACGUCAACCCCGUCUAUGAAAAUGAAAAAGAAAAAAAAUAGUCUUAAGAGUGAUUGAGAUUGAGUUCACUGCUCGAAAAGAAAAUAUUAGUUAAGUUUGAUGUUCGCUAUUUUUAAAUAAAUGUCUAUACAUUUUACGACUUAUUUUUUAAUUUUUAAUUUUUAAAAAAUUAAACUCCACUAAUAAAUUAAAUAAAACUACUUGAAAACUAUCUCGAUUAACAAGAUAGAUUUUUGAGUUAUUAAGAAUAUUGAGGGACGAUGAAUGAUGGAUGUAUCACGUACAUUUCCGCGCGUCGGUUAUUUUCUGUUCAGUAUGAUUGUUCGUUCGCUUAAUACGGGCAGCUCAUAAGCUUGCAAGAUUAGUUUUUCCCAAACGGGCUUUCCGUAUUUCGUUGGAGCAACUUCCUUCUAAAGUUUCGGAUGGUGUGUAAGUAAUUCUGUAAGUUUUAUUAGUUUAUAUUUGAAAUUAUUUGAAAAAAAAAAAGAUUUUUAUACUAGAUUAGAGAAAAAAAAAAAGAAUUUGAGUUUUAAAAUUAGGGAAGAACAUUGAUCAAUUAACUAAAACUAAAUAAGUGGAUAUACGUUUAGUUACAAACCAUUAACCAUCAAUACUAUUCGAUCAAAUAAGCACAUUAUCCACGUCGUUGAGUUGACCUGAUCAAAAACUAAAAAUACUACAUCAUAUAUUUAGGUUUGUGUAAAAGAUAAAUAUUCUUUUAGUCCAUAUAAUUCUAAUUAAUUACUCAAUUAGUUUUAAUAUUUUUAAAAUUACAAUGAACAUCCUAUCAUUACCUUUUUUUUAAUAAUGAUACGUUAAAAUAACAAAUCUACCUCCGUUUGGUACAGCUUAUUAAAUAGAGCUUAUAACAGUAGAACUUAUAGCAGUAAAGCUUAUACCAAUAGAGCUUUUAGAUAAAAAGUCAUUGGGUAUUUGGUUGUCAAUAAAAAAAAUACUUUUGAACCAUUAAACUGUAUGAUAUUUUUUAUAUUAUAUAUUUUUUGGAGAAGCUCUCUAACCUCUACUCCCAAAAGCUCAAAUUUUGGGCUUUUGCCAGUAGAGGUAAAUUAGCUUAUUUAAGCUAAAAAAACUCUACUAAAAAAAUAACCAAACACCAUAAAAAUUUUUAAAAAGUGCUUAUGCGAUUAAAUAAGCAUUUAUGGCUCUUAAAUAAAGCAUACUAAACAAGCACUUAUACUUAUUUAAAUCAAUUCUAUUAUGCCACAAUCUAGAUUUCUAUGCUACUCUACUCACAUUUGUGGGAGAAAUAUCUAAUUCCAUUGACAUUAAUUCCCUGUUCUUAUCUUAUUACUUUAAUAAUUGCUUAAUCUAAGCUUUCAAGGAUAAAACAGAUAUUAACUAAAAUAAGAUAUACCAAAUGGACCUUUUUGCUAUUUUUUAAAAUUAUAAGAACUAACUCAGUAACUAACUCAAAUUAUAAGGACUAACAAAGUAAUUAUCCUUGCAUAAAUUUUAGAUCACCAUUAAAUUAGAUGGUGUAGAUAAUUCUAUAUAAAGUGAAAAAUUACGCACGUUUGAUGAAAUUGUGCAUUAAUUUCCCAAAUUUCUCUAAUCCCCUGUCAUAAGGGGGGCAACAAAACUUGAAAAAGAAAAGGGAUCAUCUCCGAGUUAAAACGAAAGCAACGGAAGGAAAAAAAAAUGGGUUCAAAGCUGAUGAGUUUGUUGUUCUUAACAACGGCGGUGGUGGUGGUGGCAAUGGCAGCCGAGUCCAGAGCCUUCGACGGAAGCAACUGGGGUCGGAUCAACAACGUCGGCCGCAUCAACGAAUACGACGAGAAUGAGAUGUUGAUGCCGACCGAAGAGAGCCGUCGCCAGCUCUGGGGAGGAGGCUUCAUUAGCUACGGCGCCCUGAGGGCCAACUCUGUCCCGUGCAACCGACGCGGCACUUCCUAUUACAACUGCAACCACGGUGGCGGACCCGUUAACCCUUACCG
This 7747-nucleotide long non-coding RNA is filed under the name Citrus sinensis (sweet orange). Its description in RNAcentral is "long non-coding RNA (CSIN_LNC003613)". The record is from RNAcentral. Lineage: Eukaryota; Viridiplantae; Streptophyta; Magnoliopsida; Sapindales; Rutaceae.